Long non-coding RNA from Etheostoma cragini (Arkansas darter), 185 nucleotides. RefSeq lists it as uncharacterized. The transcript is spliced from 5 exons. The record is from RefSeq and is a predicted model, not a curated record. Lineage: Eukaryota; Metazoa; Chordata; Actinopteri; Perciformes; Percidae.
AAGGUACGUAUAAAGGCUUUAGGCCACCCUACACUUUAUUGUAGGCCCAGUUUAAUAUGCAACUUAAUUUUGUACAAUAUACGUAGUAGAGGUUCCCAGCUCCGUCUCUCUUUUAGUUAAGGGUCCUUGGCUUAAAAAAAACGUUGAAGACCCCUGCCUUAAAGGACCAGCUGUGUGAAAUAUAA